AGAAUAUGACUGAGUGUCUUGUGUGUGAAGAACUUUUUGGGAAGAGCUACACUUAAAGAUUAUUUCUGAACAAGGAUAAGCUGUCUGUUUGCUACAUCCUAGCCUCCAGUUUGUCCUUUAAAAGGCUGCCACUGCAUCGGUUAGAAGGAAAAGGCCACAACUUCACCACUCCAGCAGGUGCUCUAGGAAGAACUGUGCUAAUAUUAUCCUGUAAAACAGAUCUUGGCUAGUGGAUCAGUCCCACUUCCACGGAGGUCAGUAGGAGCUUUGCCUGAAGGGCAAGGCUGCCCUCUCUGUCUGAAGCCAAAUCUUUUCUCAUACAUCAAGAACUCUUCAUGAUGAAGUAGAAAAGCAGAUGCCAUCCCCUUUCACUGCUUCUCCAGGCAAAGUGUAAACCUCAGUGCACUCAGCAGUAAAUUCCUUUAAACAUUUACAUGAGCUGAAAUUGCUUCAUCCGCUGACCUUU
Molecule: long non-coding RNA, 466 nt
Filed under: Dromaius novaehollandiae (emu)
Lineage: Eukaryota; Metazoa; Chordata; Aves; Casuariiformes; Dromaiidae
Description: lncRNA (ENSDNVG00000001758.1)
Source: RNAcentral